Molecule: small RNA, 789 nt
Filed under: Pongo abelii (Sumatran orangutan)
Lineage: Eukaryota; Metazoa; Chordata; Mammalia; Primates; Hominidae
Description: processed transcript
Source: RNAcentral
CACAUGAAAAAAAGAUGCCCAGGAGAAUUCAAAAGGCACCAGUACCAGUUACUCUUCAUUGACAGGACAGAGCACUUUGCCCAUAGGGAGGAAGGGGAAGUGCCCCAGCUCGCUGUACAUGGCCUGGCUGGAGACCCUGUCCCAGGACCUCAGACCUCCAGUCAUCCUGAUCCGAGGAAACCAGGAAAACGUGCUCACCGUUUACUGCCAGUAACUCCAGGCUUUGCCAUCCCUGUCCACAGCUCUGAGUGUGUGGGAUGAGUUGGAACUCGAUUGCCUCUGGUCCACAGGGAUAAGACUCAUGUUCUGUUGCACUUUAAGUGACAGCAUCUGAUGAUCUCACCGAAAAAGAUGGUAGAUUUCCAAAUCUGGCUGGACUCCACUUCCAUGGGACACAUUCCCUGGGUCUUGUUUUUAUGGGCUAGAGAAAUAGCAGAUGGAGCUGCAAGGAAAACUCUCUAAAGGAUCCUAUUCCUUUUAAAGGAUUUCUUUUGAUUUCGAUGACCAUUAAUUAAGAGUUCAGUCUUUGAUUUGUAUGCAAAUUGGAGUCCGAAUCCUGGGCGUGAAUCUUGACCGUUUCUACAGACCUUCCUGGGUGAAAGUUCCUAAACCAUGCCCUGCUUCCUCCAAUAGGAGAAUGGGAGCCUCACCUGUAGGACCUACAGGCUCUCUAAGGAAUGCAGGGCUCUCUCUGAGCCUCCACAGCCAGGCAAAUAUAUAUAUAUAUAUAUUUUUUUUUGAGAUGGAGUUUUUUCUCUUGUUGCCUAGGCUAGGGUGUAAUGGCACGAU